AUGAGUAUUGAUUCAGGUGCAAAUGUUAUGAUCCUGUGCUUUGAUUCAUCGAGGUACUGGUUUCCGUCACCUGUGGAAUGGGAAACUGAAGCGAUGCAAGCUGAGUUGAACAACUUUGGUCAAGAAUUUAACUUGAAUUCUCUGAACAAAAGAUUAGAAUCAUGGAGAAGGAAGAUGAAGAAGUGUGAGGCAUGCGUAGUGGGCUAG
Non-coding RNA from Vicia faba (fava bean), 207 nucleotides. The record is from the annotation of a GenBank genome assembly. Lineage: Eukaryota; Viridiplantae; Streptophyta; Magnoliopsida; Fabales; Fabaceae.